This 1009-nucleotide long non-coding RNA is filed under the name Olea europaea subsp. europaea. The record is from RNAcentral. Lineage: Eukaryota; Viridiplantae; Streptophyta; Magnoliopsida; Lamiales; Oleaceae.
CGACUAGCUACUUUUUUGUUAGAAAGAAGUGUUUAUGAUUGGUGGAGGUCCGUACAGAGUAAAUAUGUUGAUCCUUCUGUGAUCACAUGGGGCGAGUUUAAAGAUGCUUUUAAUGAGCAUUUCUACCCUCGUUAUUACAAGACUGACAAACAGAAUGAAUUUUUGAGACUAGUACAGACAUCAACAAUGGCAAAGUAUCGGAAGAAAUUUAUAGAAUUAUUAAAGUAUGCUGCUGUUCUUGUAGCUGAUGAAGUUGAUAAAUGCAGAUGAUUUGAGUAUGGCCUGAGAGAAAAAAUUAGAUCAAUGGUGACUGCGUCUAGGUAUGAAAAUUUGGGUGUAAACUUGUAGAAGCAACAUUAAGGGUCGAGAAAAGUUUGUCUAAACGACAUAGUGGUCAACAACAAAUGAGACCGGGAAUUGGAAACACCUAAUCCACCUCCUCUACGAUCCCUCCUCCGUGGCCUAGUCAUAGAUCCUCUUGCCCAUGUCUGACUACUGCUUCCGAUUCCCGAUCUCAUUUGUUGUUGACCACCAUGUCGUUCAGACAAACUUUUCUCAACCCUUAAUGCUGCUUCUACAAGUUUACUCAAAUUUUCAUACCCAGACGCAGUCACCACCGAUCUAAUUUCUUCUCUCAGGCCAUACUCAAAUUUUCUGCAUUUAUCAACUUCAUCAGCUACAAGAGCGGCAGCAUACUUUGAUAAUUCUAGAAAUUUCUUCUGAUACUCCACCACUGUUGAUGUCUGUACUAGUCUCCAAAAUUCAUUCUGUUUGUCAGUCUUGUAAGAAUGAGGGUAGAAAUGCUCAUUAAAAUCAUCUUUAAACUCGCCCCACGUGAUCACAGAAGGAUCAACAUAUUUACUCUGUACAGACCUCAACCAAUCAUAAGCACUUCCUUCUAACAAGAAAGUAGCUAGACGUAAUUUUCGAUCAUCAGGACAAUCCAUCACAUCAAAUAUUCUUUCAAUCCUCACCAUCCAUGAUUUUCCUUCUCCUGGAUUAGUUGUGC